RNAcentral lists this ribosomal RNA (370 nucleotides) under uncultured cyanobacterium. RNAcentral describes it as "bacterial SSU rRNA". It matches the Rfam family "Bacterial small subunit ribosomal RNA", at positions 376 to 761 of the family's 1533-position model. The record is from RNAcentral. Lineage: Bacteria; Bacillati; Cyanobacteriota.
CGAAAGCCUGACGGAGCAAUACCGCGUGAGGGAGGAAGGCUCUUGGGUUGUAAACCUCUUUUCUCAGGGAAGAAUAAAUGACGGUACCUGAGGAAUAAGCAUCGGCUAACUCCGUGCCAGCAGCCGCGGUAAUACGGAGGAUGCAAGCGUUAUCCGGAAUGAUUGGGCGUAAAGCGUCCGCAGGUGGUUUUGUAUGUCUGCUGUUAAAGCGUGCGGCUUAACCGCAUAAGGGCGGUAGAAACUACAAGACUAGAGUACGUUCGGGGCAGAGGGAAUUCCCAGUGUAGCGGUGAAAUGCGUAGAGAUUGGGAAGAACAUCGGUGGCGAAGGCGCUCUGCUAGGCCUGUACUGACACUGAGGGACGAAAGCU